Molecule: long non-coding RNA, 456 nt
Organism: Symphalangus syndactylus (siamang)
Lineage: Eukaryota; Metazoa; Chordata; Mammalia; Primates; Hylobatidae
Source: RefSeq, a predicted model, not a curated record
CAAGGCCAACGAACUGCGCCACCCAAAGGACAUCUAGGAGAGAAACUGGCAGUUCCAUAUAAUAGGAGGGAGUACCAGAUGUGGCUGAGCAUGGCAUCUGACAGACUAAACUCUGCAUGAAUGUUGAGUCGUGAAUAGACAGGGGCUGGAUGCAGGAAGGAACAAAUGAAAGAACGAAGGAAUGAAUGAAAGAAUUUCAUGGUGACAACUCCGAGGAGAGUGAUAUGAGGAUGUUAGGGAAAAGGAGUGGAGAGCAUAAGGGAUACUCCUUUUCCCUAUCUGCCCAUCCUCAAAAAGCUGGAAACUUCUUUGUGCUGGUUCUUUCUGGUGCCGGGGAGACGGCAGCGGUGAGUGGGCAGAAUUCUUGCCUGGCUGUGGGGCACAGCAGCCUGGAGGGCUGCUCUGAGCAGGACCAAGAGCUGCCCAUGCGCCUUGAUUCAACCGGCUGUUUUUAUC